AAGCAGUGAGAUUGAGUGUUAGGCAAAUCCGGCACUCUUAAGAUUGAGCUGUGAUGGGGAGAGGAAAUUGUUUCCUCGAGUCGUUGAUUUCACACUGCCGAGAAAAGCCUCUAGAUAGAUAAUAGGUGCCCGUACCGCAAACCGACACAGGUAGUCAAGAUGAGAAUUCUAAGGUGAGCGAGCGAACUCUCGUUAAGGAACUCGGCAAAAUGACCCCGUAACUUCGGGAGAAGGGGUGCUCUUUAGGGUGCAAGCCCAGAAGAGCCGCAGUGAAUAGGCCCAAGCGACUGUUUAUCAAAAACACAGGUCUCUGCUAAACCGUAAGGUGAUGUAUAGGGGCUGACGCCUGCCCGGUGCUGGAAGGUUAAGAGGAGUGGUUAGCUUCUGCGAAGCUACGAAUCGAAGCCCCAGUAAACGGCGGCCGUAACUAUAACGGUCCUAAGGUAGCGAAAUUCCUUGUCGGGUAAGUUCCGACCCGCACGAAAGGCGUAACGAUUUGGGCACUGUCUCAACGAGAGACUCGGUGAAAUCAUAGUACCUGUGAAGAUGCAGGUUACCCGCGACAGGACGGAAAGACCCCGUGGAGCUUUACUGUAGCCUGAUAUUGAAAUUCGGCACAGCUUGUACAGGAUAGGUAGGAGCCUUUGAAACGUGAGCGCUAGCUUACGUGGAGGCGCUGGUGGGAUACUACCCUAGCUGUGUUGGCUUUCUAACCCGCACCACUUAUCGUGGUGGGAGACAGUGUCAGGCGGGCAGUUUGACUGGGGCGGUCGCCUCCUAAAAGGUAACGGAGGCGCUCAAAGGUUCCCUCAGAAUGGUUGGAAAUCAUUCAUAGAGUGUAAAGGCAUAAGGGAGCUUGACUGCGAGACCUACAAGUCGAGCAGGGUCGAAAGACGGACUUAGUGAUCCGGUGGUUCCGCAUGGAAGGGCCAUCGCUCAACGGAUAAAAGCUACCCCGGGGAUAACAGGCUUAUCUCCCCCAAGAGUUCACAUCGACGGGGAGGUUUGGCACCUCGAUGUCGGCUCAUCGCAUCCUGGGGCUGUAGUCGGUCCCAAGGGUUGGGCUGUUCGCCCAUUAAAGCGGUACGCGAGCUGGGUUCAGAACGUCGUGAGACAGUUCGGUCCCUAUCCGUCGUGGGCGUAGGAAAUUUGAGAGGAGCUGUCCUUAGUACGAGAGGACCGGGAUGGACAUACCUCUGGUGUACCAGUUGUCGUGCCAACGGCAUAGCUGGGUAGCUAUGUAUGGACGGGAUAAGUGCUGAAAGCAUCUAAGCAUGAAGCCCCCCUCAAGAUGAGAUUUCCCAACUUCGGUUAUAAGAUCCCUCAAAGAUGAUGAGGUUAAUAGGUUCGAGGUGGAAGCGUGGUGACACGUGGAGCUGACGAAUACUAAUCGAUCGAAGACUUAAUC
This 1408-nucleotide ribosomal RNA is filed under the name Staphylococcus haemolyticus. RNAcentral describes it as "bacterial LSU rRNA". It matches the Rfam family "Bacterial large subunit ribosomal RNA", at positions 1514 to 2925 of the family's 2925-position model. The record is from RNAcentral. Lineage: Bacteria; Bacillati; Bacillota; Bacilli; Caryophanales; Staphylococcaceae.